This is a non-coding RNA of Triticum aestivum (bread wheat), 156 nucleotides long. The record is from Rfam. Lineage: Eukaryota; Viridiplantae; Streptophyta; Magnoliopsida; Poales; Poaceae.
GACUCUCGGCAACGGAUAUCUCGGCUCUCGCAUCGAUGAAGAACGUAGCGAAAUGCGAUACCUGGUGUGAAUUGCAGAAUCCCGCGAACCAUCGAGUCUUUGAACGCAAGUUGCGCCCGAGGCCACUCGGCCGAAGGCACGCCUGCCUGGGCGUCA